Molecule: ribosomal RNA, 246 nt
Filed under: uncultured bacterium
Lineage: Bacteria
Description: partial 16S ribosomal RNA
Rfam family: Bacterial small subunit ribosomal RNA
Source: RNAcentral
AGAGUUUGAUCCUGGCUCAGGACGAACGCUGGCGGCGUGCUUAACACAUGCAAGUCGAACGGGGCACCCUUGACUGAGGUUUCGGCCAAAUGAUAGGAAUGCCUAGUGGCGGACUGGUGAGUAACGCGUGAGGAACCUGCCUUCCAGAGGGGGACAACAGUUGGAAACGACUGCUAAUACCGCAUGACAUAUUGAAAGGGCAUCCUUUUGAUAUCAAAGAUUUAUCGCUGGAAGAUGGCCUCGCGU